This 460-nucleotide ribosomal RNA is filed under the name uncultured eukaryote. RNAcentral describes it as "SSU rRNA". It matches the Rfam family "Eukaryotic small subunit ribosomal RNA", at positions 114 to 595 of the family's 1831-position model. The record is from RNAcentral.
AAUUUAUUAGUAUAAUACGAAGUUACAUGGAUAACCGUAGACAAAUUACAAGCUAAUACAUGCAAUCAGACCUGGUCCAAGGGUCGUAAUUAUUAGUACUAAACCAUUUCCGUCAGGAAUGUGAUGAUUCAUAGUAAUCGAACGAAUCGCAGGUAUAUGCGAUAAGUCAUUCAAGUUUCUGCCCUAUCAGCUUUGGAUGGUAGUGUAUUGGACUACCAUGGCAGUCACGGGUAACGGAGAAUUAGGGUUCGAUUCCGGAGAGGGGAGCCUGAGAAACGGCUACCACAUCUACGGAAGGCAGCAGGCGCGCAAAUUGCCCAAUCCUGACACGGGGAGGCAGUGACAAGAAAUAACAACUCUAGGAUUUCUUAGAAGUGUAAUGAGGAUAAUUUACAAACCUUACCGAAUGCAAUUGGAGGGCAAGUCUGGUGCCAGCAGCCGCGGUAAUUCCAGCUCCAAU